AUUGAACGCUGGCGGCAUGCCUUACACAUGCAAGUCGAACGGCAGUACGGGAGCAAUCCUGGUGGUGAGUGGCGAACGGGUGAGUAAAGUAUCGGAACGCGCCCAGUCGUGGGGGAUAACGUAGCGAAAGUUACGCUAAUACCGCAUACGAUCGAUGGAUGAGAGUGGGGGAUCGCAAGACCUCGCGCGAUGGGAGCGGCGGAUGUCAGAUUAGGUAGUUGGUGGGGUAAAGGCUCACCAAGCCGACGAUCUGUAGCUGGUCUGAGAGGACGACCAGCCACACUGGGACUGAGACACGGCCCAGACUCCUACGGGAGGCAGCAGUGGGGAAUUUUGGACAAUGGGCGAAAGCCUGAUCCAGCCAUGCCGCGUGCAGGAUGAAGGCCUUCGGGUUGUAAACUGCUUUUGUACGGAACGAAAAGGUUUGGCCUAAUAAGCUGAGCUCAUGACGGUACCGUAAGAAUAAGCACCGGCUAACUACGUGCCAGCAGCCGCCGUAA
RNAcentral lists this ribosomal RNA (500 nucleotides) under uncultured bacterium. Its description in RNAcentral is "partial 16S ribosomal RNA". It matches the Rfam family "Bacterial small subunit ribosomal RNA", at positions 30 to 523 of the family's 1533-position model. The record is from RNAcentral.